RNAcentral lists this ribosomal RNA (466 nucleotides) under uncultured bacterium. Its description in RNAcentral is "partial 16S ribosomal RNA". It matches the Rfam family "Bacterial small subunit ribosomal RNA", at positions 28 to 507 of the family's 1533-position model. The record is from RNAcentral.
GAUGAACGCUGGCGGCGUGCUUAACACAUGCAAGUCGAACGAUGAAGCCCAGCUUGCUGGGUGGUUUAGUUGCGAACGGGUGAGUAACACGUGAGUAACCUGCCCUUAACUCUGGGAUAAGCCUGGUAAACUGGGUCUAAUACCGGAUAGGAGCGUCCACCGCAUGGUGGGUGUUGGAAAGAUUGAUCGGUUUUGGAUGGACUCGCGGCCUAUCAGCUUGUUGGUGAGGUAAUGGCUCACCAAGGCGACGACGGGUAGCCGGCCUGAGAGGGUGACCGGCCACACUGGGACUGAGACAGGGCCCAGAAUCCUACGGGCGGCAGCAGUGGGGAAUAUUGCACAAUGGGCGCAAGCCUGAUGCAGCGACGCCGCGUGAGGGAUGACGGCCUUCGGGUUGUAAACCUCUUUCAGUAGGGAAGAAGCGAAAGUGACGGUACCUGCAGAAGAAGCACCGGCUAACUACGUG